AUUGAACGCUGGCGGCAGGCCUAACACAUGCAAGUCGAACGAGUGGCGGACGGGUGAGUAAUGUCUGGGAAACUGCCUGAUGGAGGGGGAUAACUACUGGAAACGGUAGCUAAUACCGCAUACCAUCGGAUGUGCCCAGAUGGGAUUAGCUAGUGGGUGGGGUAAAGGCUCACCUAGGCGACGGUCCCUAGCUGGUCUGAGAGGAUGACCAGCAAAAAUGGAACUGAGACACGGUCCAGACUCCGACGGAGGGCAGCAUUGGGGAAUAUUGCACAAUGGGCGCAAGCCUGAUGCAGCCAUGCCGCGUGGAGGAAGAAGGCCUUCGGGUUGUAAAGUACUUUCAGCGGGAAGGCGUUACCCGCAGAAGAAGCACCGGCUAACUCCGUGCCAGCAGCCGCGGUAAUAC
RNAcentral lists this ribosomal RNA (406 nucleotides) under uncultured bacterium. Its description in RNAcentral is "partial 16S ribosomal RNA". It matches the Rfam family "Bacterial small subunit ribosomal RNA", at positions 30 to 526 of the family's 1533-position model. The record is from RNAcentral.